This is a non-coding RNA of Vicia faba (fava bean), 264 nucleotides long. The record is from the annotation of a GenBank genome assembly. NCBI's taxonomy places the organism in Eukaryota, Viridiplantae, Streptophyta, Magnoliopsida, Fabales, Fabaceae.
AUGAGCGACUUGCAUACCGGAGCAGUUCCGGUGACACUUCAACGGUGCCAGUUUCGCAAGAAAUCCAGAAGCAAUAUUAGACAGUUAGUGAAUUUGGUUAGUAGAGCGAGAGUUAUGGUUUUUUCUGUUAUGGUUAGUUUUACUGCUUGCGGUGGCAAGAGGAUGAAGGGCCUGAGCUUUAAAGCUGGAAAUUUAAUAUGCAAGGGCUGCGAAUUGAAUGAAGGCUCGAGAAAGCUUGGAAAAGGCAUGACAUUGAAGGCAUAA